GGCGAGUGGCGAACGGGUGAGUAAUAUAUCGGAACGUACCCUGGAGUGGGGGAUAACGUAGCGAAAGUUAAGCUAAUACCGCAUACGAUCUAAGGAUGAAAGUGGGGGAUCGCAAGCACUCAUGCUCCUGGAGCGGCCGAUAUCUGAUUAGCUAGUUGGUGGGGUAAAGGCCUACCAAGGCAUCGAUCAGUAGCUGGUCUGAGAGGACGACCAGCCACACUGGAACUGAGACACGGUCCAGACUCCUACGGGAGGCAGCAGUGGGGAAUUUUGGACAAUGGGCGAAAGCCUGAUCCAGCAAUGCCGCGUGAGUGAAGAAGGCCUUCGGGUUGUAAAGCUCUUUUGUCAGGGAAGAAACGGUGAGGGCUAAUAUCCCUUGCUAAUGACGGUACCUGAAGAAUAAGCACCGGCUAACUACGUGCCAACAGCCGGGGAAAUACGUAAGGUGCAAGCGUUACUCGGAAUAACGGGGCGGUAAGCGUGCGCAGGCGGUUUUGUAAGUCUGUCGUGAAAUCCCCGGGCUCAACCUGGGAAUUGCGAUGGAGACUGCAAGGCUAGAAUCUGGCAGAGGGGGGUAGAAUUCCACGUGUAGCAGUGAAAUGCGUAGAGAUGUGGAGGAACACCGAUGGCGAAGGCAGCCCCCUGGGUCAAGAUUGACGCUCAUGCACGAAAGCGUGGGGAGCAAACAGGAUUAGAUACCCUGGUAGUCCACGCCCUAAACGAUGUCUACUAGUUGUCGGGUUUUAGUUAACUUGGUAACGCAGCUAACGCGUGAAGUAGACCGCCUGGGGAGUACGGUCGACACGAUUAAGACUCAGAGGAAUAGACGGGGACCCGCACAAGCGGUGGAUGAUGUGGAUUCAUUCGAUGCGACGGGAAAAACCUUACCUACCCUUGACAUGUACGGAAGCCACGAGAGAUCGAGGUGUGCUCGAAAGAGUACCGUAACACAGGUGCUGCAUGGCUGUCGUCAGCUCGUGUCGUGAGAUGUUGGGUUAAGUCCCGCAACGAGCGCAACCCUUGUCAUUAGUUGCUACGAAAGGGCACUCUAAUGAGACUGCCGGUGACAAACCGGAGGAAGGUGGGGAUGACGUCAAGUCCUCAUGGCCCUUAUGGGUAGGGCUUCACACGUCAUACAAUGGUACAUACAGAGGGCCGCCAACCCGCGAGGGGGAGCUAAUCCCAGAAAGUGUAUCGUAGUCCGGAUUGUAGUCUGCAACUCGACUGCAUGAAGUUGGAAUCGCUAGUAAUCGCGGAUCAGCAUGUCGCGGUGAAUACGUUCCCGGGUCUUGUACACACCGCCCGUCACACCAUGGGAGCGGGUUUUACCAGAAGU
RNAcentral lists this ribosomal RNA (1336 nucleotides) under uncultured Oxalobacteraceae bacterium. RNAcentral's name for it is "16S ribosomal RNA". It matches the Rfam family "Bacterial small subunit ribosomal RNA", at positions 90 to 1427 of the family's 1533-position model. The record is from RNAcentral. Lineage: Bacteria; Pseudomonadati; Pseudomonadota; Betaproteobacteria; Burkholderiales; Oxalobacteraceae.